This 811-nucleotide unclassified non-coding RNA is filed under the name Hevea brasiliensis (rubber tree). Lineage: Eukaryota; Viridiplantae; Streptophyta; Magnoliopsida; Malpighiales; Euphorbiaceae. The record is from RNAcentral.
GGAAAGGAUGAUGAUAGAGGACCCUGCAUUCAAUAAGCCAUAAAAAAGGUCAUCAAAGCUCUUUAAAACAUGCAAAGCAAAUAAUAUCAUCAAAGGAAGAGAGAGAAUCAUCCAGAUUUGUGAUGUUACUAUUAAUAUUUUGCACAAUUAUUAUGAUACAGAAAGAAGAAUGACAAGCAAACGAUGCAAUCAUAUGUUUAGUAGUGUUCCCUCUUCAUGCAGCACUAAAUUAACUCAAUAUUUUCUUCCUGCUCCACGCUGCAUCACUAUCAACGCUAAAGCUUCUUUCUAUGUGCCAAAAGGGAACAGAAGUUACUCCUGGUUAAUGUCCAAUAAUAACAAUCUGAGAGAACCAGGUCAUUAACUCAUAGUCGUAGUAUUAUCACAUAUUGUUGUACAACAAACUAGUAGCGAAGAAUAUUUGAAAUAAAGAUAAAACACCUUUUCCCCAAAAGAGGAUUAUGUAACAACUAGCUCUAAAGCAUCCUAUAGUGAACAACAGACAAUGUUCAUCAUGAAACCUCAACUUGAUCAAAUUCUUUUUUGUUGUAGUUUACUCUCAUUUUCCUUAUUCUUUGUUUGGUAAGUUUUGAAUUCUUUCCUUUACUACAAAUAGGAUAUUAUUCAAACUUGAUUCAUGAUAGCCUUGAUAUGAAAUUAAUCCAGUGUCAAGGAACGCCUCGAAUGAUAUGAAGUAAAUCCAUGGCCCAACUGCUUAAGUUAAUGAAAAUACUAUCUAUCCUGUCUUAACCAUCAUCGUUAUAAAGCUACAUGUCGUAAAGCUCACCAAAGCAAAGAACAAAGGCGUAAA